Molecule: long non-coding RNA, 1461 nt
Filed under: Monodelphis domestica (gray short-tailed opossum)
Lineage: Eukaryota; Metazoa; Chordata; Mammalia; Didelphimorphia; Didelphidae
Description: lncRNA (ENSMODG00000037066.1)
Source: RNAcentral
CUCCCCUAAGUAAACGUGGGAGGGAAGAUCCUGGGGGCCUUAGAAAUAUCAGCUAAGAUCCCAAAUCUAGAAGAAUUUAAGCUACCAGAUUGUUUUAGCCAACACUCAACUGCCUGUAUACCAGAAGCUUUCUACUGAGCUUAGUAAGGUGGAUCGUUGCUCUGGCAUCCCCUGGGAAAACCUAAUCUUCUGGAAAGAUUAGUAUAUUUCUGGGUUGGAGAACUGCCUUGGAGGAGACACGCCUUUCCAUGAAGUACAGAGACCACCUGUCUGAGAUCCACUGGUCAGACAUCCAUUUGGUUAAGGUCUCUUGCAGCAAUUCCACAGCUCUCCAAAUUGAGAAGAAUCAGACUCCACCCAUUCUGGAACUUCAGAAAAGAGUCAGUUGGCAGAGCUCAUUGGGCCACAGAUUGAGCUGGAAAGGACCUCAGUGGUCAUUUAGUUCAGCCACCCAUAUUCUAGAAAUGGGAAGACUGGGGGAAGCACAAAGAGGUUAUGACUUCUCCAGCAUCACACAGAAAUGAUGAAAGGGACAGAACCAAUGAAGAAAGAAGUAAGCAGAAUCAGGAAAAUUUAUACAACAAUAAUACAGUAAAGGAACCCACUUUGAAAGACUUGGGAACUUCCAUCAAUGCGAUGACAAACCAUGAGUCCAGAGGACAGACAACAAAGCUUGCUAACUAUCUUUUGACAGAGGGCCAUGGGCUCAGGAAAUAAAAAAUGAGAUCUUUAUUUUUUUUUAAUGGACAUUUUGGUAAUUUGUUUUUCUUGAUUAUGUAUAUUUGUUUAAAAGGAUUUUGUUUUUCCUUCUCUUUACCAUGACACCUAGCAGCCCCUCUUUUUUUUUUUAAAUAAGAAAGUUCCUCUCUCUUUGCCUCUAUUUCUGAGCAGAAAGAUAAGAUACAAUGUGAUAGUGGAGAGGUUGCUGCAUUUCGAGUUGGAAGAUCUGAGUUUGAAUCCCUUGGAUAAGUCACUUGAUCUCUGGGCAUCUAUUUCAUCAUUUAUAAAUGAAGGGAAUACACUGGACAGUCAUUGAGGUCCUUUCUAGCUUGAAAUCUAGGAUCCUAUGAAUGCUGGCUUGAUGACACUUCCUGUGCUUACUGCACCAAAGUAGGCGAGCACUCCAAUAUUCAGUCACUAAAGGGAGACUAUUUUGAGAGAGAAAGAAAGAGAUUAUAUCUUAUAAACUUUGAAGAAAUAUCUGAGCUGGCAUAGAAGCUAUAUAUAUACCUGCAAACAAAAGUCUAUUUGAAAUAGACCUGAGUCUUGAAAAUAGGGUUUUAAUGGCUAAUGUAGAAUGUUGGUUUUUAUCAAAGAAGUGUCCUCUCUUCAUUAAAAAGGCACUAAUUCAGAAAAAUCUAUCGAAGUUAAGGCCUCUAUAGAAGCAAUUUGCCUUUCAGUGAACACUGAAAAGUUAACUUGUCCAAUAAAUUCUUUCUAAAUGACUUUUCUUAUACCUUU